GGUUGGCGCUCCGAAAGGUUGACAGGUAUGGAAUGACAAAAGCAUCCCUUCAGCGAGCACGUGUCUGCUAAUAGUCUUGAUUUGUUGUUGAUGCUGUGGUUUGAGAUACAUUUUAAGAUCAAAAUUCCAUUGCUUUUCUCUUGAAGUGAAAUCCUUUCCACAAUAGUGUUUUUGGUAUCCCUACUCACCUGAUGUCGAUGAUCACCUGUUCAUCUCAAACGUAAUUAAUUUCGGCUUGUGGAUCAUGUUAUCAUUGGGGUGACAUAGCGCUAACAACAUGCAUAUACUGUAUGUACUGCUUUUGCUGAUUGGAGUUAUCUUUUUUUUCAUGGGAAUACAGUACAUACAAUAAAUAUAGUUUCAAGUGUAAAUGAACAAAGCAAAUGAAUGCAUCUCAUUUUUGUAAAGAUCCAUUUUCCCCCCAGGAUAUACUGCUUGUGUCCAAAAAAGAUUUUAUAUUCAGAUGCCAGAUUUUAUUUAUGUAUAGCAAAUCUAUUAUUUGUAGCUCUAGCCAUUUGGAUUCAUGCUAUGAAGAUAUUUUCACAGAUCAAUUUUGAACAACUCAAGGAAAUCAUUGUCUGUCCCUUACAAUGUAUUUGCAGUGUUUGAGUUCAGUCCUGUGUUGUGCAAGAGAGUUCUUUAUUUGAAGGGACAAAACCAAAACGACAACAAACUACCUACCGCUUGGGAAAAAAAAAAUGCCUUUAACCUUUGAACACAGAAAUGCUGCAAGGUCAGUGAAUAGAAAAUGUCAAACAUGCAAUUCCUGUUCCUAAAUAUGUUUUUGUAGCUGACGUUACGAUACUCUCGUCUCUGGAAGUGACACAUAGUUUAUGAAUAGCUUUUGGGGAUUGAGACUUGGCUUUAUGUUGAUGAUGUGUAUAAAUGUAAACAUUUUCUAUUUGUGAGGCAUACUGCAUUUGCCAUAGUUAAGUGUCAAGUGUAAAUAGCAGGCUUUAGUUUGACAAUAAAAUAUAAUGGUUAA
Molecule: long non-coding RNA, 985 nt
Organism: Hippocampus comes (tiger tail seahorse)
Lineage: Eukaryota; Metazoa; Chordata; Actinopteri; Syngnathiformes; Syngnathidae
Exons: 2
Source: RefSeq, a predicted model, not a curated record